This is a long non-coding RNA of Bubalus bubalis (water buffalo), 440 nucleotides long. RefSeq lists it as uncharacterized. The record is from RefSeq and is a predicted model, not a curated record. NCBI's taxonomy places the organism in Eukaryota, Metazoa, Chordata, Mammalia, Artiodactyla, Bovidae. The transcript is spliced from 3 exons.
UUUCUAGUUAGGGACUGUCUAACAAGAUAAAGAGAGCUUGGUGAGGGCAAGGGGCUUAUCCUGUUGCCACUGCAUCUCCAGAUCCUCAGACUCUACCAGGCACAAGGCCAACCACCAUUUGAAGAAAAGAUCCGGGUGGAGAACCCUGAGUUUUGGAUUCAGGGGAUCAGACUUAUAUGUCUGUAGGAGUGAGAAGAUAGAAACUUACUCAAACAUUUUAUGUGCCAUUGGAAGACUUCAUCUCCAAGGGAACAAAUUUGGUUUGCAAUCAGUGAAAUGAGAGGUGGUGGUAUUACAAGUUGAAGAAAACUAUUCCACGAUACCCUCUUCCUGCCAUGUGUAGAAGUCCUUGACUUUUGCUUGCUACUGCUGGGUAAACUAUUCCAGGAGUAAACUUGAAUUUAGUCAAUUAUUCCUUAAUUUGUUUGGACUAUAAUCGG